UACGUAGGGUGCAAGCGUUAAUCGGAAUUACUGGGCGUAAAGCGUGCGCAGGCGGUUAUAUAAGUCAGAUGUGAAAUCCCCGGGCUCAACCUGGGACCUGCAUUUGAGACUGUAUAGCUAGAGUACGGUAGAGGGGGAUGGAAUUCCGCGUGUAGCAGUGAAAUGCGUAGAUAUGCGGAGGAACACCGAUGGCGAAGGCAAUCCCCUGGACCUGUACUGACGCUCAUGCACGAAAGCGUGGGGAGCAAACAGG
RNAcentral lists this ribosomal RNA (253 nucleotides) under uncultured bacterium. Its description in RNAcentral is "partial 16S ribosomal RNA". It matches the Rfam family "Bacterial small subunit ribosomal RNA", at positions 524 to 776 of the family's 1533-position model. The record is from RNAcentral.